GAUUAACGCUGGCGGCGUGCAUAACACAUGCAAGUCGAACGAUGAAACUUUUUUGAUUUCUUCGGAAUGAUUAAAAGUGGAUUAGUGGCGGACGGGUGAGUAACGCGUGAGUAACCUGCCUUAGAGAAGGGGAUAGCCUUUGGAAACGAAGAAUAAUACCCUAUGAAACCAUAACCGCGCAUGAGGAAUUGGUCAAAGAUUUAUCGCUCUAUGAUGGACUUGCGUCUGAUUAGUUAGUUGGUGGGGUAACGGCCCACCAAGACAGCGAUCAGUAGCCGGCUUGAGAGAGUGUACCGCCACAUUGGGAGUGAGACACGUCCCAGACACCUACGGGAGGCAGCAGUGGGGAAUUUUGCACAAUGGGGGAAUCCCUGAUGCAGCGGCGCCGCGUGAUUUAGAAGGCCUUCGGGUUGUAAAAAUCUUUUCUAUGGGAAGAAAAUGACAGUACCAAAGGAAUAAGGACCGGCUAAUUACGUG
Molecule: ribosomal RNA, 477 nt
Filed under: uncultured bacterium
Lineage: Bacteria
Description: partial 16S ribosomal RNA
Rfam family: Bacterial small subunit ribosomal RNA
Source: RNAcentral